AUUGAACGCUGGCGGCAUGCCUUACACAUGCAAGUCGAACGGUAACAGGUCUUCGGAUGCUGACGAGUGGCGAACGGGUGAGUAAUACAUCGGAACGUGCCUAGUAGUGGGGGAUAACUACUCGAAAGAGUGGCUAAUACCGCAUGAGAUCUACGGAUGAAAGCAGGGGAUCGCAAGACCUUGUGCUACUAGAGCGGCCAAUGGCAGAUUAGGUAGUUGGUGGGAUAAAAGCUUAACAAGCCGACGAUCUGUAGCUGGUCUGAGAGGACGAUCAGCCACACUGGGACUGAGAAACGGCCCAGACUCCUACGGGAGGCAGCAGUGGGGAAUUUUGGACAAUGGGCGCAAGCCUGAUCCAGCAAUGCCGCGUGCAGGAUGAAGGCCUUCGGGUUGUAAACUGCUUUUGUACGGAACGAAAAGCCCCGGGUUAAUACCCUGGGGUCAUGACGGUACCGUAAGAAUAAGCACCGGCUAACUACGUGCCAGCAGCCGCCGUAA
RNAcentral lists this ribosomal RNA (498 nucleotides) under uncultured bacterium. Its description in RNAcentral is "partial 16S ribosomal RNA". It matches the Rfam family "Bacterial small subunit ribosomal RNA", at positions 30 to 523 of the family's 1533-position model. The record is from RNAcentral.